Molecule: ribosomal RNA, 447 nt
Filed under: Laeocathaica potanini
Lineage: Eukaryota; Metazoa; Mollusca; Gastropoda; Stylommatophora; Camaenidae
Description: partial large subunit ribosomal RNA
Rfam family: Archaeal large subunit ribosomal RNA
Source: RNAcentral
CAAAAACAUAACUAUAUGAGUCUACAUAUAGCUAUUUCUGCUCAAUGAUUAUUUAAAUAGCCGCAGUAAUUUGACUGUGCAAAGGUAGCAUAAUCAUUUGACCUAUAAUUGAGGCCUAGUAUGAAAGAAUAUAUGGGGGCUAGCUGUAUCAAAAGCGGGAAUUAAAGUUACUUAGUGGGUGAAAAUUCCCACUUUAAAAUAAUAGACGAGAAGACCCUAGAAAUUUUUAGAAUUUUUAAAGUUUGGUUUUUGUUGGGGCGACAUAAUAGCAUAAAACCUAUUUUAAUUAUAUAUGAUUAUUAUAAUAAGGCAAAUCAAAUUACUCUAGGGAUAACAGCAUAAUAUUAAAAAGUUUGUGACCUCGAUGUUGGACUAGGGAAUAAUAGCCCAGAAGGCUACUUAUUAGGCUCUGUUCGAGCAUAACCCCCUACGUGAUCUGAGUUCAGA